GAAUUCGCCCUUAGAGUUUGAUCCUGGCUCAGGACGAACGCUGGCGGCGUGCCUAACACAUGCAAGUCGAACGGAGUAAAGCCCUUCGGGACUUUGCUUAGUGGCGAACGGGUGAGUAACGCGUGAGGAACCUGCCUUUCAGUGGGGGACAACAGUUGGAAACGACUGCUAAUACCGCAUAAUGUUGUUGAACCGCAUGAUUUAACAACCAAAGAUUUAUUGCUGAAAGAUGGCCUCGCGUCUGAUUAGCUAGUUGGUGGGGUAACGGCCUACCAAGGCGACGAUCAGUAGCCGGUCUGAGAGGAUGAACGGCCACAUUGGGACUGAGAUACGGCCCAGACUCCUACGGGAGGCAGCAGUGGGGAAUAUUGGGCAAUGGGGGAAACCCUGACCCAGCAACGCCGCGUGGAGGAAGAAGGUCUUCGGAUCGUAAACUCCUGUCCUGAAAGACGAGGAGAAGACGGUAUUUCAGGAGGAAGCCCCGGCUAACUACGUGCCAGCAGCCGCGGUAAUACGUAGGGGGCAAGCGUUGUCCGGAAUGAUUGGGCGUAAAGGGCGCGUAGGCGGCCUUGUAAGUCUGAAGUGAAAGUCCUGGCUUCAAGUUGGGAAUUGCUUUGGAUACUGCAGGGCUUGAGUGCAGGAGAGGUAAGUGGAAUUCCCAGUGUAGCGGUGAAAUGCGUAGAGAUUGGGAGGAACACCAGUGGCGAAGGCGACUUACUGGACUGUAACUGACGCUGAGGCGCGAAAGUGUGGGGAGCAAACAGGAUUAGAUACCCUGGUAGUCCACACUGUAAACGAUGAAUGCUAGGUGUAGGGGGUAUCGACCCCUUCUGUGCCGCAGUUAACACAAUAAGCAUUCCGCCUGGGGAGUACGGCCGCAAGGUUGAAACUCAAAGGAAUUGACGGGGGCCCGCACAAGCGGAGGAGCAUGUGGUUUAAUUCGAUGAUACGCGAGGAACCUUACCCAGACUCAAAUGGGGGUCGGCAGGCGCGGAGACGCGCCCUCCCUUCGGGGCGGCCUUCAAGGUGCUGCAUGGUUGUCGUCAGCUCGUGCCGUGAGGUGUCAGGUUAAGUCCUAUAACGAGCGCAACCCCUACGUCCAGUUGCCAGCGGGUCGAGCCGGGGACUCUGGACGGACUGCCGGCGCAAGCCGAGAGGAAGGCGGGGAUGACGUCAAAUCAGCACGGCCCUUACGUCUGGGGCGACACACGUGCUACAAUGGCGCGCACAGAGGGGAGCCACGCGGCGACGCGGAGCGGAUCCCGAAAGCGCGUCUCAGUCCGGAUCGGAGUCUGCAACCCGACUCCGUGAAGCUGGAAUCGCUAGUAAUCGCGCAUCAGCCAUGGCGCGGUGAAUACGUUCCCGGGCCUUGUACACAAGGCCCGUCA
Molecule: ribosomal RNA, 1388 nt
Filed under: uncultured bacterium
Lineage: Bacteria
Description: partial 16S ribosomal RNA
Rfam family: Bacterial small subunit ribosomal RNA
Source: RNAcentral